AUGAACGCUGGCGGCAUGCCUAACACAUGCAAGUCGAACGAGACCUUCGGGUCUAGUGGCGCACGGGUGCGUAACGCGUGGGAAUCUGCCCUUAGGUCCGGAAUAACUCAGGGAAACUUGAGCUAAUACCGGAUGAUGACGUAAGUCCAAAGAUUUAUCGCCUAAGGAUGAGCCCGCGUAGGAUUAGCUUGUUGGUGAGGUAAAAGCUCACCAAGGCGACGAUCCUUAGCUGGUCUGAGAGGAUGAUCAGCCACACUGGGACUGAGACACGGCCCAGACUCCUACGGGAGGCAGCAGUGGGGAAUAUUGGACAAUGGGCGAAAGCCUGAUCCAGCAAUGCCGCGUGAGUGAUGAAGGCCUUAGGGUUGUAAAGCUCUUUUACCCGGGAAGAUAAUGACUGUACCGGGAGAAUAAGCCCCGGCUAACUCCGUGCCAGCCGCCGCGGUAAUU
This 450-nucleotide ribosomal RNA is filed under the name uncultured bacterium. RNAcentral describes it as "bacterial SSU rRNA". It matches the Rfam family "Bacterial small subunit ribosomal RNA", at positions 29 to 525 of the family's 1533-position model. The record is from RNAcentral.